UACCCCCCUAGUUCCCCCAUAGCCCCAUUCUCCCCCAUAGACCCCUAUUAAACCUCCCAAAGCCCCUCAUUUACCCCCUCCAUUACCCCCUAUAUCCCCCAAUAGCCCCCCAUUACCGCCACAGCCCCCCAUUACCGCCCCAUAGCCCCGCAUUACUCCCCUUAGCCCCCCCUUAACCCCAUAUACCCCCUAUUAACCCCGCCAUAUCCCCCUAUUACCGCCCAUAGCCCCGCCAUUAUCCCCCAUUUACCUCGCCUACAAUCCCUAUUACCCCAAUAUCCCCCUACACGGCCCAUAAUCCGCACCUAUUACCCCCCAUAUCACCCCAUUAAACGCCCCCAUAUCCCCCAUUAACCCCCAUAAUCCCCCCUAUUACCGGUGCCCAUGCCGCCCAUUACCUAUAUCCCCCCAUAGCCCCAUUACCCCCCAUAGCCCCCAUUGCCCCCCACAGCCCCCCAUUACCCCCAUAGCCCGCUAUUACCCCCAUAUCCCUAUACCCCCCCAUAGCCCCCUAUUACCCCCCAUAGCCCCCCUUAACCCCAUAUCCCCUAUUACCCCCGCAAUCAUCCGCCCUAUUACCCCACCAAUAAGACGCACCAUUACCCCCCCUAUAGGACCCCUAGAGCCCCCAUUACCCAAUCCUAACCUUAAUCCCAAUCCUAAUCCCAAUCCUAAUCCCAUUAAUCCCAUUAAUCCCAAUCCUAAUCCCAUUAAUCCCAAUCCCAUUGAUCCCAAUCCUAAUCCCAUUAAUCCCAAUCCCAUUGAUCCCAAUCCCAAUCCCAUUAAUCCCAAUCCUAAUCCCAUUAAUCCCAUUAAUCCCAAUCCCAUUAAUCCCAAUCCUAACCCUAAUCCCAAUCCUAAUCCCAUUAAUCCCAUUAAUCCCAAUCCCAUUGAUCCCAAUCCCAUUAAUCCCAAUAUAAUCCCAAUCCCAUUGAUCCCCAUCCCAUUGAUCCCAAUAUAA
RNAcentral lists this long non-coding RNA (961 nucleotides) under Coturnix japonica (Japanese quail). RNAcentral describes it as "lncRNA (ENSCJPG00005002351.1)". Lineage: Eukaryota; Metazoa; Chordata; Aves; Galliformes; Phasianidae. The record is from RNAcentral.